UUAGCACUAACUUGCCUUUUCCACUGAACCUUCAAGAUGCCAAGAAUUUCCUCUGUGGGCUAGAGAGGAAUCUCUAGAUACAUGAGCUGGAGAUAAAUAACUUUCCUAUGAGCAGGAUCAAAUUUGAAAUGCACCUAACACACAGAACACAGGCCUGCAACAUGAACAUUCCACAGGACUGACCAUACCUCAUGAGAGCUCUUUAUGGAUCUUGAGGUUGAAGUCUGUUUCUGUCUCCUUCCAUCCCCUGUUGAUGUCUCUGAACUGUAGUGUUAUUUGAGGUCUUUCACAAUAAAUGCCACACAGUAAUUAGAAUCUCA
This 320-nucleotide long non-coding RNA is filed under the name Cyanistes caeruleus (blue tit). Its description in RNAcentral is "lncRNA (ENSCCEG00000019558.1)". Lineage: Eukaryota; Metazoa; Chordata; Aves; Passeriformes; Paridae. The record is from RNAcentral.